This 253-nucleotide ribosomal RNA is filed under the name uncultured bacterium. Its description in RNAcentral is "partial 16S ribosomal RNA". It matches the Rfam family "Bacterial small subunit ribosomal RNA", at positions 524 to 776 of the family's 1533-position model. The record is from RNAcentral.
UACGAAGGGGGCUAGCGUUGCUCGGAAUCACUGGGCGUAAAGCGCACGUAGGCGGAUUGUUAAGUCAGAGGUGAAAGCCCAGGGCUCAACCUUGGAACUGCCUUUGAUACUGGCUAUCUUGAGUAUGGGAGAGGUGAGUGGAACUCCGAGUGUAGAGGUGAAAUUCGUAGAUAUUCGGAAGAACACCAGUGGCGAAGGCGACUCACUGGCCCAUUACUGACGCUGAGGCUCGAAAGCGUGGGGAGCAAACAGG